UAUCAAGGGGUGCUCAUUCCGUUUGGAAUCUGCUGAGAUGAUACCCUUCAGAACCUGAUGCGGGUAAUGCCGACGUAGGGAUGAUAAGAU
RNAcentral lists this non-coding RNA (90 nucleotides) under uncultured Prevotella sp. Lineage: Bacteria; Pseudomonadati; Bacteroidota; Bacteroidia; Bacteroidales; Prevotellaceae. The record is from RNAcentral.